UUAGGGUGGUUUUUGAUCUACCUAUUGAAAAUUCUACAUACCCAAAUGGUAAUGGACCAGAUUCUCAUAACACAUCAAUUCUGUCACUGGAAAUUGUUGAGUUUGUUGAGGAAGAGCCUGUCUCAAACAGCAAGGACUGAGCUGUUAUCCUGUCUCUGAAUGAUUUGGACCCCUGACCCUCAGAUUUUCAGUCUUGAAGUCCACUCACCUCUUCAUAUCCUUUUCUGAAGCACUGAGCCUGAUCAUUCCAGCUUCCAGGAAGACUGCCCAUGCAUGUGCAUUCCGAUUCCAACACUCAUUUGAGCAGCUCCACAUUCGGUUCCUCCCUCUGGUGUACCUGGAGAGUACCUUCUUCACUGAUUAGGUAUGGAGACUGUGAGUUCCAAAUUUCCUAGAAAGUAAUGUUUUCACAUAAUUCUCUCCCCCUCUUGCGUCCCCACUGGCCAACUUCUGUCCUUAUUGCCCAGAAUGCUGUCACCUGUCUGCUCAUGGAUAUAGAGAAACUGUGGAAGUCUAUGCAUUGGGUUAGCCAGCCUGGAACAUCUAAAGAACAGGGUGAUGGCCAAAAUAUCUUCCAGAUGUUCAAUCUGUAGAAACAGAAUUUUCUGUGCUCUGAU
Long non-coding RNA from Tupaia belangeri chinensis (Chinese tree shrew), 617 nucleotides. RefSeq lists it as uncharacterized. The transcript has 3 exons. Lineage: Eukaryota; Metazoa; Chordata; Mammalia; Scandentia; Tupaiidae. The record is from RefSeq and is a predicted model, not a curated record.